Molecule: transfer RNA, 74 nt
Filed under: Podarcis lilfordi (Lilford's wall lizard)
Lineage: Eukaryota; Metazoa; Chordata; Lepidosauria; Squamata; Lacertidae
Rfam family: tRNA
About the family: Transfer RNA (tRNA) molecules are approximately 80 nucleotides in length. Their secondary structure includes four short double-helical elements and three loops (D, anti-codon, and T loops). Further hydrogen bonds mediate the characteristic L-shaped molecular structure. tRNAs have two regions of fundamental functional importance: the anti-codon, which is responsible for specific mRNA codon recognition, and the 3' end, to which the tRNAs corresponding amino acid is attached (by aminoacyl-tRNA synthetases). tRNAs cope with the degeneracy of the genetic code in two manners: having more than one tRNA (with a specific anti-codon) for a particular amino acid; and 'wobble' base-pairing, i.e. permitting non-standard base-pairing at the 3rd anti-codon position.
Source: Rfam by way of RNAcentral
GCCUGGAUACCUCAGUUGGUUAGAGCAUGGUGCUGAUGGUGCCAAAGUUGCAGGUUUGAUCCCUGUUUGGGACA